ACUCCUACGGGAGGCAGCAGUGGGGAAUAUUGCACAAUGGGCGCAAGCCUGAUGCAGCCAUGCCGCGUGUAUGAAGAAGGACCAGUUCCGGGUUUGUGAAAUGUAACUUUCAGUCAGUGAGGAAGGUGGGUAUGUUAAUAGCAUACUCAUUUGACGUUAGCUGCAGAAGAAGCACCGGCUAACUCCGUGCCAGCAGCCGCGGUAAUACGGAGGGUGCGAGCGUUAAUCGGAAUUACUGGGCGUAAAGCGCAUGCA
This 255-nucleotide ribosomal RNA is filed under the name uncultured bacterium. RNAcentral describes it as "partial 16S ribosomal RNA". It matches the Rfam family "Bacterial small subunit ribosomal RNA", at positions 335 to 573 of the family's 1533-position model. The record is from RNAcentral.